CAGUUCAUUUCGCAGGCCGGAGAGACUGGAGCGAAUUUGCAAAGACGCAGUUUAGAUUGAAUUAUUAUGAUUAUUUUAUUAUUUGUUCCACUUUUCCUUCAGCAGUUAAGAGAACUCGUCUGAAUGAUAAGCACAGGAGUGAUAAAAUUGAAGAAGCUCUUUUAUCGUUGAUUCAGAAACUUGUUGUCGUGUUAUUUACUGUUACCGUGGACUUCGUGACCAGUGAUUCAAGGUAAGACCAGGCCUAACUUCACUACAUCAAACACUUUCAGUGUAUGUGGUCUGAAAUGAUGUUUACUGCGUUAGACUGCUGAACAUCUCUGAUGUCAAAUCAAAUUACUGACCAGACUGCUGAAUUUCAACUGCAGUCUGUUUGAUCUUAAAGCUGGAAUUAAUGUUUACUUUGGCAUUUUCUUUUGCAACAGGGAGAGAAAGUGAAUUGGAAUCGGCCGAGGUUUGUUGGUUCAUCACUAUGUUCAUUGUAAUGGCUGUGGUUAUUGCAAAUGUAUAACUUGUACUGUAUUGUAACUUUUAAUGUGGAUGUAGCAAAAUUGCACAAAACUGUUUGUUUCUAUACACAAUAAACAAAAUACAUGUC
Long non-coding RNA from Carassius carassius (crucian carp), 598 nucleotides. RefSeq lists it as uncharacterized. NCBI's taxonomy places the organism in Eukaryota, Metazoa, Chordata, Actinopteri, Cypriniformes, Cyprinidae. The transcript is spliced from 2 exons. The record is from RefSeq and is a predicted model, not a curated record.